UAAAUAAACAUGUAAAUACAUGUAAAUAUUUUCAUAAUAUAUACUGUAUGUAUGUGUAUUUAUAUAUACAUAAUAAAUAUACACAAAACACACACACAUAUUAUGCAAACAAAGACUUUUAUUUUGUAUGCGAUUAAUCACUAUUAAUCAUUUGACAACACUAGAAAAUAAGUAUAUUGCAUUAGACAUAUGUUCAAAAUUAUAGGUUUUUGAAUAACAGUUAUAAUAGCUUAUAUCUUGUAUAAACAGCCCUGCAAUAAGGAUAGACACAAAUGUUUUAAAUUUGAUUCUUUUUUUUUUUUCUUUUUUCUUUUUUUCAUGUGUUAUGUAUUUUAAAAGCCUUGUCUAGAUUGUAAAUUAAGGUUUUGGUAAUUGAAACGUAAGCUACAUGACAUUUGACUUUCUCUGUAAAGAUUUAUUCAUAUAUUCAUUUUUAUUAUUUUACAGUGUUGUUUUAAUGUGUUUCUGUAUUUUUCAUGUUUAUAAUAUUCUGGAAUGACUGAAGAUCAGCCCAGAAUUCAACAAUCUUGUGGAUGCACUGCAGCAAGUCCUUUUGCAGCUGUAUCCAUCAAAGUGCUAUGCAGACAUAAUGGGAAAGACUUUCACAUUGUAGAGAUUGGACAGAGUUGUAACACACAGGUUCUGAGCAGGAAUUCAUCAAGGACUUGACUGUUGGAAUUAUAAUUGUGGUUGACAAAAGUGAGCACCAUCAGUCUAUAAUGAUGUGGUCCCGGUAAUAGAAGAAGAAAUCUUGGUGAUCUCGGGUUUUGAACUGCAUUAGACUAUCCGACUUUUCACAGCACUUGAAGGCAAAGUUUGAAUUUCAUGUUUGCUUAGUAUUUUAAUGUUUUCAUUUAAGGAGUUUUUUUUUUUUUUUUUUUUUUUUUUUUACAUGCAUUUCAGACAGUGCAGUGUUAAUUUGUGAAUGUUUUUAUAAACAUGAAUGUUUAAAUUAUGGUUUAUUUGUGCUCUCUGUUAUGCCAGGAUAAUUGGUUAACAAAACGCUUUUGUCAUAUUAACUUGUGUUGAAGUUUAUUUAACUCAUAAUUUUAAGACAGCCAUGUAAACUUUUUAGGUAACUGUUAUAACAAACUAUAUGUAGUUGAGUGAAAUUAAAUUUGAAAGUUUACUUAAUCCUCUUGAUUGCUUGAAUAAGUUGAUACAAUAUUUAAUCCAAAGUUAUGACUACAAAAUAACAUUAUUUUAUUUAUUUAUUUAUUUACAAAAUAUAAAUUGAAACAACAAAAUCACUAUCUGAAAUUCUAACUGAAAUCGCUAACUGAAAUUCAAUGAGAUCAAAAUUUUAAGGCAACAAGGUUACUUACUUUUUUAAGUUAAACCAACAAAUAAUUUUUUAUUCUUAUUUAUUUAUUUAUUUAUUUUCAGUGUUGCAGUAUCUUGGACAAUUUCUUUAUGAUGAGAAGAUGCCAAAAUCUCUAAUUAAAAGCCAGAUCUCAAUAUAAACUCAAACAUUUCUUAUCAAGUCGUCCAAGAUCAGAUGUUCGGCUUUAAUUGCAGACUAUGGUAUUUUCUUGUCAGAAAUAAAUGUCUUUAUUAUCUUUUUUCCUCCUAUAUA
Cyprinus carpio (common carp) is the source of this 1576-nucleotide long non-coding RNA. Lineage: Eukaryota; Metazoa; Chordata; Actinopteri; Cypriniformes; Cyprinidae. The record is from Ensembl.